GAAAUAUGAGAAUCAAAAUUAAGCUUCUAACUUAAAUUAAAGCAGCGAACUACUGUUUAUAUUUCU
RNAcentral lists this transfer RNA (66 nucleotides) under Cucujoidea sp. 13 KM-2017. RNAcentral describes it as "tRNA-Ser". Lineage: Eukaryota; Metazoa; Arthropoda; Insecta; Coleoptera. The record is from RNAcentral.